RNAcentral lists this transfer RNA (66 nucleotides) under Muscina levida. RNAcentral's name for it is "tRNA-Ala". Lineage: Eukaryota; Metazoa; Arthropoda; Insecta; Diptera; Muscidae. The record is from RNAcentral.
AGGGUUGUAGUUAAUGAUAACAUUUAAUUUGCAUUUAAAAAUUAUUGAAUUUAUUCAAUCUACCUU